ACCAGAACAUUGUGAUGCCACUUUGUUGUCCUCCCAAUUCUUGAUUGUUUCACUGAACAGUUUUCCUUAUUCCUCGAACAAAUAUCGGUCUAAUUAUCUUCCAGCGACAAUAUAUAUAUAUGUAAAAGUACACUACGGGAUAGAACGACAAACCAAAAUCCCACCCACCCUCCAUCAUAGGGCACGCAGCCAAGGAGGAAUACUAUCCCCACCAUACAUUUGACGCCUCUGUUUCAAAGAGAAAAAGACCUACUGUAGACCCUUGCAAAUGCACCUGCGCCGUCUCGCUGGAUUGCCCGAGGGCUGCGAGGGAUGGUGUGUUGGACUGUCACAUUGCCCCAGGGCUUCCCAUCCCCAAACACAAACACAAACUUACAGGCCCAAAGCCCACCCGUGAAUUGCAGAUCUUCUGCUACAUCUCAAUGAAAGAAAGAGACUGUCUUCAAAGAUCAGCUGAUGAUGUUCUCACUUCUGACACUCUUCAAAAGUGCAUUCAUCAUUCUGAAUAUUGAGCACUCUGACAUCUUUGAAUGAAUGUGAGGAUGCAUUCAACAACUUCAAUUCUACAACAUCAACACAGCUUUAUCUUUCAUUCUUGAAAAAUUCAUGAACCCCAUCAUCAGCCAGCAGUUUUAACAGCCAGCAGUUUUAACAGCCAGUUUCAUGCAAAAAAAUAACUGAAAGUAAUGACUGUGGAAAACAUUGUCAAUACUGAUAUGAAGA
RNAcentral lists this small RNA (723 nucleotides) under Histoplasma ohiense. Its description in RNAcentral is "hypothetical lncRNA". Lineage: Eukaryota; Fungi; Ascomycota; Eurotiomycetes; Onygenales; Ajellomycetaceae. The record is from RNAcentral.